This 329-nucleotide small RNA is filed under the name Pongo abelii (Sumatran orangutan). RNAcentral's name for it is "processed transcript". The record is from RNAcentral. Lineage: Eukaryota; Metazoa; Chordata; Mammalia; Primates; Hominidae.
GGUGGCGGCGGUGUCGUUGGCGGCAGCGGGAGUGGGUGCGGCGGCAGCGGCGGCGGCGCCCGCGGGUGGUAUAAAAUGGCGGAUUUCGAAGAGUUGAGGAGUGGCUGUACCAUUUUACAUCCCUACCAGCAAUGUAUGGAGUGAUCCAGUUUCUCUGCAUCCUCGCCAGCAUUUGGUGUUAUCAGUGUUUUUCAUUUUAGCCAUUCUGCCCAUAGAGCCAGUUGCAUUAACAUCCUUUGCCAAAUAAUGUUAUCACUGGAAAUAUGAGAUAUGAGACCUAGAAAUUCCUUUGAGAGUCAAGCUUAGAAUAUGGUUUCUAGUUUUAGGGU